Molecule: long non-coding RNA, 1656 nt
Organism: Cyprinus carpio carpio
Lineage: Eukaryota; Metazoa; Chordata; Actinopteri; Cypriniformes; Cyprinidae
Source: Ensembl
UAUGCAAGAUAAUACUUUUACUUAAAGGAUAGUUCAGCCAAAAAUGAAAAUCCUGUAAUCAUUUACUCACCCUUCAGUUGCUCCAGACCAGACCCCUGUGCAGGAUAAAGCUGAAUGUGGCAGCGCUGGACAGGUGUUUAAUGGUUUUGUUCUGAGCAGGGAGACCCUGACUGUGCUGCUGGAUCUACUGGGAAGUGAACGGCAACAUGGAUGGUGUGUCAUGAUCCAGACCCUGGUGUUUCUCUUCUGUCUGCCAGCAGUACAUCAUACAGAUGGUCUCCAGAGUGUUUGACAUGUGCCUCUACCACUGUCACCACACUGUCCUCCGAGUCUCUGAGGAGGUGCUGGCCAUUCACCAAGAGAUUGACCUCCUGAAGACCCCAGAACACACGGAGACAGGGCCGGGCUCAAACUGAUGCUGUUUACUGAUGUUAAACCUAAGAUAUGUUGUAAAUGGUUGUAAAAAGUACUUUCUAUUAUGUAUAGAACAAUUUGUUUUAAUGUGUAAAAAAGUAUUUACAGGACAAACAAAUAAACAUAUAAAAGAAUGUUUUGUGAAAAAAAAUAUAAGCUGCAUUAAAAAAAAUUAAUGUACAUAAGCACUUUUUAUUUACACAUGUGAAUAUGCAAAACAAAAAUACAAAAUGUACAGAAAGUACUCAGGCUUAUUUACGAAUAAAUUACACACAAAAAAUGAAUAAUGUAUACAAUUUAUGCAUUUCAUUUUUAACUUGCAUCACAAAAAUAAACUACAGAAAUUAGGUUGUUUCAUUGACAAUAUGACAUUUAAAAAAUAUAUUGGAAAAACUGUAAUGUACUUAUUUUUUUCUCUUGGCUAAUGAAGAAUGUAUUUGUUUGAGUUUGAUGUCCUCUGUCCACUCGCUCCCUCACCUGUCUCAGGACACUUCACAAAUAAACCUUGCCUGUUAACAACAAAAACACAUGCUCACUUUCUCCAGAAUAGUAUUAAAACAAAAGAAAAUGGAAACACUUAUGAAAGAAUACAGGUUUGCAAUCUUAACAUUAGAAAAUAUGACACAGCAGGACAUUCAUACAAAAUACUGAAGUGCUAAAGUUUGGUUAAAACAUUUGUAGACAUUUCCUGCAUGACAGCACUUUAAAAACACAACAAAGGGAAAGACCAUUGCCUUAUAUAGUGGCUGUCUUAUUGUUUGUGGGCUUUAUGUUAAAAAAAAAAAAAAAAUAACCUUGCCUUUAAACACUUUUGCUAGGCAUUUGAGUAAAUGAAAACACAAUACUUACAUUUCAAUGUGAAGUCCUCCACAGAACUCUCACCUGCCUCUGAAUAUAAACACAUUCGUCAUAUGCACGCAAGUUAUUCUGGGAUAUGGAAGGGUGCGAAGUGUCCAUAAGAUGUACACUUCAUUUUCCUGGGAAAUGAAGGGCGCAUUUGAAGUCGCUUUCGAAAUUCGUCAGCCUUCGUCGCGCCGCGGUGACGCAUUCGCACUUCAAAUGCGGUCUUCGAAGUGCGCAUUCUGACUUUGGGACAGCUUACGUCGUGACGCUGUGACGCAAUCGCACUUCACAUCCGCACUUCGGAGUUCACACACUUCAGUUUGGGACACCCUUCGUCGCGCCACUGUGACGCAUUCGCACUUCAAAUGCGCACUUCGGAGUCCAUGCACUUAAGUUUGG